Pseudorhodoferax sp. Leaf274 is the source of this 387-nucleotide non-coding RNA. It matches the Rfam family "transfer-messenger RNA". Rfam says of the family: Bacterial tmRNA, also known as 10Sa RNA or SsrA, is named for its dual tRNA and mRNA-like properties. Its role is to liberate the mRNA from a stalled ribosome. The record is from Rfam. NCBI's taxonomy places the organism in Bacteria, Pseudomonadati, Pseudomonadota, Betaproteobacteria, Burkholderiales, Comamonadaceae.
GGGGCUGCAUUGGUUUCGACGUGGGUUCGGAAUCGUGGCGGUGCAUGUCGAGCUGAAUGCGCUCGUUAAACAGAUUCAAACAAACUAACUGCAAACGACGAACGUUUCGCACUCGCUGCUUAAACACCAGUGAGCCUUACAACAGCAUGCCGACGGGCUGGGCAAGGGGUGACGGAUGCAAAUCCUGAGCUCCCGGCUGUAAGGUUAUUUACGUUGGCUGGCUCCCUGCCGGGUACCUUGGCAUGGGGCGAGAUCCAAGGGUACUGGCGUCUCGUAGAGCGUGCGGCUGCGCGCUACGGGAAGUGAGAUCCAAAACAGACCGCUAAACAUGUAGAUCUGCGCGAAGAUGGCUUGCGGACGGGGGUUCAAAUCCCCCCAGCUCCACCA